CCUACGGGUGGCAGCAGUGAGGAAUAUUGGUCAAUGGACGAGAGUCUGAACCAGCCAAGUAGCGUGAAGGAUGACUGCCCUAUGGGUUGUAAACUUCUUUUAUAUGGGAAUAAAAUGUUCCACGUGUGGGAUUUUGUAUGUACCAUAUGAAUAAGGAUCGGCUAACUCCGUGCCAGCAGCCGCGGGAAUACGGAGGAUCCGAGCGUUAUCCGGAUUUAUUGGGUUUAAAGGGAGCGUAGGUGGAUUGUUAAGUCAGUUGUGAAAGUUUGCGGCUCAACCGUAAAAUUGCAGUUGAAACUGGCAGUCUUGAGUACAGUAGAGGUGGGCGGAAUUCGUGGUGUAGCGGUGAAAUGCUUAGAUAUCACGAAGAACUCCGAUUGCGAAGGCAGUUCACUGGACUGCAACCGACACUGAGGCUCGAAAGUGUGGGUAUCAAACAGGAUUAGAUACCCUAGUAGUC
Molecule: ribosomal RNA, 460 nt
Filed under: uncultured bacterium
Lineage: Bacteria
Description: partial 16S ribosomal RNA
Rfam family: Bacterial small subunit ribosomal RNA
Source: RNAcentral